UGGCCUUUUCCUCAGAGAGUGUUCAGG
This 27-nucleotide non-coding RNA is filed under the name Rattus norvegicus (Norway rat). Lineage: Eukaryota; Metazoa; Chordata; Mammalia; Rodentia; Muridae. The record is from RNAcentral.